This 253-nucleotide ribosomal RNA is filed under the name uncultured bacterium. Its description in RNAcentral is "partial 16S ribosomal RNA". It matches the Rfam family "Bacterial small subunit ribosomal RNA", at positions 524 to 776 of the family's 1533-position model. The record is from RNAcentral.
UACGUAGGGGGCAAGCGUUGUCCGGAUUUAUUGGGCGUAAAGGGCGCGUAGGCGGGCCAGCAAGUCAGGGGUGAAAGCCCACGGCUCAACCGUGGAAGUGCCUCUGAUACUGUUGGCCUCGAGGGAGGUAGGGGCGUGCGGAACUUCCGGUGGAGCGGUGAAAUGCGUAGAUAUCGGAAGGAACAUCGGUGGCGAAAGCGGCGCGCUGGACCUCUACUGACGCUGAGGCGCGAAAGCCAGGGGAGCAAACGGG